GAUGAACGCUGGCGGCGUGCCUAAUACAUGCAAGUAGAACGCUGAAGGAGGAGCUUGCUCUUCUGGAUGAGUUGCGAACGGGUGAGUAACGCGUAGGUAACCUGCCUGGUAGCGGGGGAUAACUAUUGGAAACGAUAGCUAAUACCGCAUGACAACAGUUAUUGCAUGAUAACUGUUUAAAAGGGGCAACUGCUCCACUACCAGAUGGACCUGCGUUGUAUUAGCUAGUUGGUGAGGUAACGGCUCACCAAGGCGACGAUACAUAGCCGACCUGAGAGGGUGAUAGGAAAAAAUGGGAAGGAGACACGGGCAAGACGGAUACGGGAUGGAGAAGGAGGGAAGAGUAGGCAAGGGAAGGAAGUCUGAAAGAGCAACGCCGAGGGAGUGAAGAAGGUGUUAGGAGCGUAAAGAUCUGUUGUAAGAGAAGAAAGAGAGAGAGAGUGGAAAGUUCACACUGUGACGGUAGCUUAUCAGAAAGGGAAGGAUAACUACGGG
RNAcentral lists this ribosomal RNA (495 nucleotides) under uncultured bacterium. Its description in RNAcentral is "partial 16S ribosomal RNA". It matches the Rfam family "Bacterial small subunit ribosomal RNA", at positions 28 to 507 of the family's 1533-position model. The record is from RNAcentral.